This 46-nucleotide non-coding RNA is filed under the name Trichobilharzia regenti. Lineage: Eukaryota; Metazoa; Platyhelminthes; Trematoda; Strigeidida; Schistosomatidae. The record is from RNAcentral.
GCACUGAUGAAGAGUUCCAGAAUAAGACGAAACAGAUGUACAGUAC